Molecule: non-coding RNA, 2822 nt
Organism: Salmo salar (Atlantic salmon)
Lineage: Eukaryota; Metazoa; Chordata; Actinopteri; Salmoniformes; Salmonidae
Source: RefSeq, a predicted model, not a curated record
AUUGGACAAGCCGCGUCAUGUGACCAUCCUCCAACUGGAGUUUCCACGACAGCUGGGAGCCGUGCGAUACCUCCUCGCGUAUUGCUUUCUUAAAGAAUACGUAGGGACUGUCCUUAUUUCAACAUCCGCAAACAAACUUUUGGCGGCAUGGGAGACAAGAAGAGUCCAACCAGGCCGAAGCGUCAACCAAAGCCUUCGGCGGAAGAGGGAAAUUGGGACUGUAGCGUUUGCACAUACAAGAACACCGCGGAGGCUUUCAAGUGCAUGAUGUGCGAUGUAAGGAAAGGGACGUCAACACGGAAGCCUCGUCCUGUCUCCCAGCUGGUUGCUCAGCGGGUAGCGCCGCAGUUCGCCUCGCCCACGCUGCUGCCCAAGAAGGACAAGAAGGACAGAACGGACCAGGAGAAGAAUGACAAAGAGCCCACAGUGAAGAAGAACAGCCACAAGAAGAUGAGGCCCAGGUUAAAAAAAUAUUGACAGGAGCAGCGCUCAGCACCUAGAGGUCACGGUUGGAGACCUGACUGUCAUCAUCACAGACUUUAAGGAGAAAACCAAACCUCCCCCCUCCUCCACCAGCACCACCACACCCCCCUCCUCUACCACCCCCUCCAGCACUGUGUCUGUGUCUGCAGAACACCACAGUGGCUCCAGCUCAGACAACAACACUGAGAGAGGGGUCUCACGGUCAACUUCACCCCGAGGAGAGGGCUUCUUAGUCGGGACAGAGUCCCAUUAGACCACCCCCCUUGGAGCCCCAGACCGCCCCCCCAAGUUGGAGGCCCUGGACCAAACUCCUAGCCCAACAGACCCUCAGACCGCCAACCCCUAGACCUUGGCCUGGAUUCCCGACCCCUAGAUCUUGGCCUGGACCCCCUUGGCCUGGACCUCCAACCCCUAGACCUUGGCCUUGAUCCCCAACCCCUAGAUCUUGACCUGGAUCCCCAACCCCUAGAUCUUGACCUGGAUCCCCAACCCCUAGAUCUUGAUCUGGAUCCCCAACCCCUAGACCUUGAUCUGGAUCCCCGACCCCUAGAUCUUGGCCUGGACCCCACUUGGCCUGGACCCCCAACCCCUAGACCUUGGCCUGGAUCCCCAACCCCUAGAUCUUGAUCUGGAUCCCCAACCCCUAGACCUUGAUCUGGAUCCCCAACCCCUAGACCUUGAUCUGGAUCCCCAACCCCUAGACCUUGAUCUGGAUCCCCAACCCCUAGAUCUUGACCUGGAUCCCCAACACCUAGACCUUGACCUGGAUCCCCAACCCCUAGACCUUGACCUGGAUCCCCAACCCCUGGACCUUGGCCUGGACACCCGACUCCUGGACCUUGCCCUGGAUCCCCGACCCCUAGACCUUGGCCUGGAUCCCCGACCCCUAGACCUUGGCCUGGAUCCCCGACCCCUAGACCUUGGCCUGGAUCCCCUAGACCUUGGCCUGGACCCCUGACCCCUAGACCCUGGAUAUGACUACUCAUGGCUUAACAUAGGCCACUCUAACCUCACUCCUCUGUCCUCAACUCGGAUAUGUAAUGUUAUCUCUGGACUUGCACAUUUACUGUAGUACUAGCUACAGGUUAUAGCUAGAUCAACACAUUUAGCAGCUACAGGUUAUAGCUAGAUCAACACAUUUAGCAGCUACAGGUUAUAGCUAGAUCAACACAUUUAGCAGCUACAGGUUACAGCUAGAUCAACACAUUUAGCAGCUACAGGUUAUAGCUAGAUCAACACAUUUAGCAGCUACAGGUUUCAGCUAGAUCAACACAUUUAGCAGCUACAGGUUACUGCUAGAUCAACACAUUUAGCAGCUACAGGUUAUAGUUAGAUCAACACAUUUAGCAGCUACAGGUUUCAGCUAGAUCAACACAUUUAGCAGCUACAGGUUACUGCUAGAUCAACACAUUUAGAAGCUACAGGUUAUAGUUAGAUCAACACAUUUAGCAGCUACAGGUUAUAGCUAGAUCAACACAUUUAGCAGCUACAGGUUACAGCUAGAUCAACACAUUUAGCAGCUACAGGUUAUAGCUAGAUCAACACAUUUAGCAGCUACAGGUUUCAGCUAGAUCAACACAUUUAGCAGCUACAGGUUACAGCUAGAUCAACACAUUUAGCAGCUACAGGUUAUAGCUAGCACUACUACUACCAACCUUGAGUUGUGGUUUGCUUUUGGACAAAAAAACACCACAAUCUGAAGUCUUGUUUUAAUGAAAUUUCUCUGAUUAACUUUAGGUCAAUUUAACUGACUUUUAAAAACUAUUUUUUGAAACCUGUGUUCUAAACAUGAAGUAAUGUCAUUACAUUUAGCUGAUCUUAGCCUAUUGUACAGCUCUGUUUUAAUGUGUUAUAACAUCACGUCAGUGUUAGUAUCCAUGUCAACAUCGGGACAUUCAACCUCCUGUCCAAUGAGAACUGUCGUGACAUGAUGAUUAUGGUUCAGAGUUCUUCAGUUUGUGUUGCAUUAUGGAAGAAAACAUGAGGUACAUGCGGAGAGGAUUGAAAACCUAUGGGUUCUCUUUUGGUACUUGUCUCUCAGUUGUAAAGUGUCAUUUAUUGAUUGAAUGUGUUGGAGACUGAAUUGUAUUGUCAUUGACUCACAUCAGCCGGGACCUGGUGUGGUUUUAUCAUUCAUGAGAAAAUAUUCUUCAAAACAACGUCUGUUUUUGAAUUGUGUCCGUUUUAACACCACCUCAAAUGGUACUGUAUCACAACAUUCACUGUUACAUUUUCUAUAAUUUGUUUUGUUUCUACCAAGCUUUGCUGUUUAGAAAUGUAUGGACAACUUGGUUGAUUACAUGGUUCAAUGUCUAUAAAGAAAGAUAUAAAUAAUGGCA